GCCAGGGAGAAGAUGCCACAGGGUCAAGCAUCAGCAAUCUACAACGGGUGAAGAGUAGAUUUGGUAAUCACUCUCUCAUUUAUGAAUUAUUUCUUUCAAUAUUUUUCUUUUUCUUUUUCUUUUGUGAUUUUUGGGUAACUAUAAACAAAAUUUGUGCCUGGUAUUUAGCUCUCUCUCUCAACUAUUCUUCAAUUUUAUUAGAUUUGGUGGUGAGGGCUACACGAUGCUUUGGUGGUGAGGGCUAGAUCGGUGCAGGUGGUGGUCGACUGUGUCUUGUGCAAGGUCGGGGAUAGACGGGGACUGAAGGGUGACGAAUGGGUAAGAUUUUUUCUCACCUGUUUUUUUUUUAAUUUUUUGCAAAAGAAUUAGCAUAAAAAUUUGUGGAGAAGCAUUCUUUUGAUUCACUCUAGAGUCAUCUACUUCAGAUUCUUAUCACAUUUUUUUCAGCCUUUUGAAGUUAUUCAUUUAUCUAUGAUUUUGUUUUUUUUAAUUAUAUCUUAUGGUAACAACUUUACAUUUUCUCUCUUUCCAGAAGCGAGAUGAUGCUCGACAGUUUAUGAAGUUUUUCCAUCCGGAUCUUGGUGUUGGUAAUGUAGUUUAAGCUUGCAAAAUUUAACUUUGCAUAUUAUUUAUGCAAAUUCUUUUAUUUUUCAUCAGUUGAAUGAGAAGCUUAUGCUGAUUGUUUAUACUUUGGAAUUCUGCCUUUGUAAUUACGUGCAGAACUUCCUGAAAUAUCUUAUGGAGCUGACUGCCGCAUAUAUCUUCCUGAAAAUCCUACAAGCAGGUUUAAUAAUGUUUAUGAAACACUUUUUGAUGAAUUCGUUUUAGCUCAUAUUAUUGGAUGGUGGGGUAAAGCUAUAUUGCUUCAUAAUCAGCCUCUUCUUUGGGUGCUAUAAAUUGGAUUUGAGAUGAUGGAGCUUACCUUCCGUCACAUGCUACCAAAUUUUAAUGAAUGCUGGUGGGACAGUAUUGUUCUUGAUAUUUUGAUCUGCAACUGGUUUGGUAUCUGGGCAGGAAUGCAUACUGUUAGGUACUUUGAUGGAAAAAUGUACAAGUGGGUUGGGAUAAGCCGUUAGCCUAAUAUUAUUGGAAAAGUAUGCUCUAAGUUUGAUGUU
Molecule: long non-coding RNA, 1115 nt
Organism: Humulus lupulus (European hop)
Lineage: Eukaryota; Viridiplantae; Streptophyta; Magnoliopsida; Rosales; Cannabaceae
Exons: 4
Source: RefSeq, a predicted model, not a curated record